AGGAUGAACGCUGGCGGAGUGCCUAACACAUGCAAGUCGAGCGGCAGCGCGAAGAAUUUAUUCUUUGGCGGCGAGCGGCGGACGGCUGAGUAACGCGUGGGAACAUGCCCCAAAGUGAGGGAUAAGCAUCGGAAACGGUGUCUAAUACCGCAUAUGAUCUUCGGAUUAAAGGAUUUAUCCGCUUUGGGAAUGGCCUGCGUACGAUUAGAUAGUUGGUGAGGUAAAGGCUCACCAAGUCUACGAUCGUUAACUGGUUUGAGAGGAUGAUCAGUCAGACUGGAACUGAGACACGGUCCAGACUCCGUACGGGAGGCAGCAGUGAGAAUC
Molecule: ribosomal RNA, 327 nt
Filed under: uncultured soil bacterium
Lineage: Bacteria
Description: bacterial SSU rRNA
Rfam family: Bacterial small subunit ribosomal RNA
Source: RNAcentral